GUGGGGAUAGCUCGGCUGGGAGAGCGUUAGACUGAAGAUUUGAAGAUCGCGUGUUGGAGUAACGCUCACUGCA
Molecule: transfer RNA, 73 nt
Filed under: Macleaya cordata
Lineage: Eukaryota; Viridiplantae; Streptophyta; Magnoliopsida; Ranunculales; Papaveraceae
Rfam family: tRNA
About the family: Transfer RNA (tRNA) molecules are approximately 80 nucleotides in length. Their secondary structure includes four short double-helical elements and three loops (D, anti-codon, and T loops). Further hydrogen bonds mediate the characteristic L-shaped molecular structure. tRNAs have two regions of fundamental functional importance: the anti-codon, which is responsible for specific mRNA codon recognition, and the 3' end, to which the tRNAs corresponding amino acid is attached (by aminoacyl-tRNA synthetases). tRNAs cope with the degeneracy of the genetic code in two manners: having more than one tRNA (with a specific anti-codon) for a particular amino acid; and 'wobble' base-pairing, i.e. permitting non-standard base-pairing at the 3rd anti-codon position.
Source: Rfam by way of RNAcentral